Molecule: ribosomal RNA, 600 nt
Filed under: uncultured Actinomycetes bacterium
Lineage: Bacteria; Bacillati; Actinomycetota; Actinomycetes
Description: bacterial SSU rRNA
Rfam family: Bacterial small subunit ribosomal RNA
Source: RNAcentral
GUGAGGUAACGGCUCACCAAGGCAUCGACGGGUAGCUGGUCUGAGAGGACGAUCAGCCACACUGGAACUGAGACACGGUCCAGACUCCUACGGGAGGCAGCAGUAGGGAAUCUUGCACAAUGGGCGAAAGCCUGAUGCAGCGACGCCGCGUGGGGGAUGAAGGCCUUCGGGUUGUAAACCCCUUUCAGUAGGGACGAAAAUGACGGUACCUACAGAAGAAGCUCCGGCCAACUACGUGCCAGCAGCCGCGGUAACACGUAGGGAGCAAGCGUUGUCCGGAUUUAUUGGGCGUAAAGAGCUCGUAGGUGGUUCGGUAAGUCGGAUGUGAAAACUCAGGGCUCAACCCUGAGACGCCAUCCGAUACUGCUGUGACUUGAGUUCGGUAGAGGAGUGUGGAAUUCCUGGUGUAGCGGUGAAAUGCGCAGAUAUCAGGAGGAACACCAACAGCGAAGGCAGCACUCUGGGCCGAUACUGACACUGAGGAGCGAAAGCAUGGGGAGCAAACAGGAUUAGAUACCCUGGUAGUCCAUGCCGUAAACGUUGGGCACUAGGUGUGGGGAUUUAUCAACGAUCUCCGCGCCGUCGCUAACGCAUUAAGUG